Molecule: ribosomal RNA, 230 nt
Filed under: uncultured bacterium
Lineage: Bacteria
Description: partial 16S ribosomal RNA
Rfam family: Bacterial small subunit ribosomal RNA
Source: RNAcentral
AAAGCGUGCGCAGGCGGUUAUGUAAGACAGUUGUGAAAUCCCCGGGCUCAACCUGGGAACCGCAUCUGUGACUGCAUAGCUAGAGUACGGUAGAGGGGGAUGGAAUUCCGCGUGUAGCAGUGAAAUGCGUAGAUAUGCGGAGGAACACCGAUGGCGAAGGCAAUCCCCUGGACCUGUACUGACGCUCAUGCACGAAAGCGUGGGGAGCAAACAGGAUUAGAUACCCGUGU